RNAcentral lists this ribosomal RNA (560 nucleotides) under Madurella pseudomycetomatis (nom. inval.). Its description in RNAcentral is "Madurella sp. 'pseudomycetomatis' partial 28S ribosomal RNA". It matches the Rfam family "Eukaryotic large subunit ribosomal RNA", at positions 38 to 625 of the family's 3401-position model. The record is from RNAcentral. Lineage: Eukaryota; Fungi; Ascomycota; Sordariomycetes; Sordariales.
GCAUAUCAAUAAGCGGAGGAAAAGAAACCAACAGGGAUUGCCCUAGUAACGGCGAGUGAAGCGGCAACAGCUCAAAUUUGAAAUCUGGCCUCGGCCCGAGUUGUAAUUUGUAGAGGAAGCUUUUGGCGCGGCACCUUCUGAGUCCCCUGGAACGGGGCGCCAUAGAGGGUGAGAGCCCCGUAUAGUUGGAUGCCUAGCCUCUGUAAAGCUCCUUCGACGAGUCGAGUAGUUUGGGAAUGCUGCUCAAAACGGGAGGUAAAUUUCUUCUAAAGCUAAAUACCGGCCAGAGACCGAUAGCGCACAAGUAGAGUGAUCGAAAGAUGAAAAGCACUUUGAAAAGAGGGUUAAAUAGCACGUGAAAUUGUUGAAAGGGAAGCGCUUGUGACCAGACUUGCGCCGGGCUGAUCAUCCGGUGUUCUCACCGGUGCACUCUGCCCGGCUCAGGCCAGCAUCGGUUCUCGCGGGGGGAUAAAGGCCCUGGGAACGUAGCUCCUCCGGGAGUGUUAUAGCCCAGGGCGCAAUGCCCUCGCGGGGACCGAGGCUCGCGCUCUGCAAGGAUG